AUUAAGCAUCCAUCAUCAUUUAUCAGACAACAUCACACCCUUGGCCCUAAUAUUACCAACAUCUUCCUUCCACCUACAACCAUCCACAAUCACCUACAUCGUACCAUCCCACCUUAAAGUUAGACCCAGUCUUGCUUGCUUCGUUCACCCCCUUUAUCUUCAAAAAAGUCGCUCUGCCUCCUUAUGUCCACCAUCGCUACUAAUCAUCUCUGGUCCAACUGAUAUGACUUCGAUCCUUCAAAAACAUUUCUCAUACAUUAUAGUGUUAUAACAGGUAAAUUGACUAUAGUUUGUAGUUAAGGAUCAUGGUAAAUAUAUUUUGCACUCUAUCUAUUCGAUCAAGUGCUUCAAAGGGUGUUUAACAUAUAUUUUUUUAAUCAGGUCUAGAACGAGUUUUGGAUCCAAGAGAAGAUAACGAGUCUAAAAGGGGGAGGUGUGCAGAGGUCGCCACUACAGAAAAGCUACAAAAAAAAAAGAAAAAAAAAAUUAAAGACAGCGAUGGAAAAUCAGGGUACUGUCAAAGCCAACCUUGAUUACUGGUACUUCCAGUAGCGGAUGAUGGAGCUCGGGAUGAUCGCAUGGCACACACCAUAGAUUAGUCAGCCUGGGAAUGUUUUACUCUAAUAAUGAACAUGUGUUUUGAGAACUAAUACUCUGUUUAUGUUUUGAAAUGAUGAUUUUACUUUAAGUGAUACUUUAUUAAAAGAAA
Non-coding RNA from Lactuca sativa (garden lettuce), 709 nucleotides. NCBI's taxonomy places the organism in Eukaryota, Viridiplantae, Streptophyta, Magnoliopsida, Asterales, Asteraceae. The record is from RefSeq and is a predicted model, not a curated record.